UUCGUCCACGUGAAGAGAAUUCUAUUAGCAUUGUCGAAACCGUUUGAUCCGGUUAUGCCUUCAUAUCUUUGAAAACAUUUCCGCCAAUUCCACCAAGUGAAAAUCACAAUAUCGUUAGUCGGUAUUGUCUUUAGGUUUACUAGCGGGGGCGUUUUUGUUUUGAGGAAAAAAGAAUAUUCUCUGGUUUCCAUCUACCUUAAGUGCCGAUUAGGCAGAUAAGCUAGAUUAAGUGAAAUGGGAAACGGGAUUCAUUUUCCAUUGACAACACUUUUAAACAUUAUUUGAUAAUUCGCAUGCAACCCUUCAAAGUCGAUUCGACAUUUUAAGGUUUACUUCACGGACAUUGAAAUCAUUGUGAAGCUUUGUAGACUGUUGUCUCUCUCGGAAGUACCCAAAAAAAAAAAAAAAAUCCUUUUUACACUCAUAACGUUCUAGCUGUUUCAUCCCUUUAAAAAAUAUCAUGUUUUUUUUUUGGUGCUCGGAACAUUUACUUUCUCCACUUGGUUCGUCUAUUUUUGAAGUUAAACUAACUAUUUGACCAUUUUCGUACUUAAUGUCAUGAACUCCUCUCGUGGAUUGUUAAGUCAAUUAUCAAAACCAACCACCAACUCAAUUUUAACCGUUGUAACCUGACCCAUUAUUAACACUAGUAUUCAUGCUGUACUUGCGGCAAUUCCCCCAUCAAAAAGUUUUCAGAGUUGUCUUUUGAUACCGAUUAUGUGUCGUGGUGGAGGCUUACACCCCAAGGAUCGGAACGGGAUCUUCUCAAUUUGAUUUUAAUGCUCUGCAUGGACAAGCCUAAGGGAAAAGAGUCAUGCAACAAGUAGAGAAAUUUAUUUCAACAUUGUUGUGUUGGCGGUUUCUGUUUGCUAAUCCUCAGCAACGAUCAUAUGCAGUUGAGAUCUCGACCAACUUUUCGUUAAAUAAUGUCAAAAUUUGCAACAAAUGUUUUAUCACGGUACUCGAAGAAUGUGAACUUAAUGAAGUUUCUCAUUUGGUUGCCAAAUUGUGGUCACACAUCAAUUUUGUCGAAAUAACCAUUCCGAUCCUGAUUUCGUUCCAUUUUUACUACUUUUUUAAAUUUGGGAUUAAGUUGAAUUGGUCUGUCUUCCUACAUCUUGUUCCAUACCCGUUCCAAACUUUGACAUAAUUGGAUGAAGCUGUCUUGUUUUAGAUAGAAUAAUACCUUGGAGCGUAAUUGCUUUUCCUCUUC
Schizosaccharomyces pombe (fission yeast) is the source of this 1213-nucleotide non-coding RNA. NCBI's taxonomy places the organism in Eukaryota, Fungi, Ascomycota, Schizosaccharomycetes, Schizosaccharomycetales, Schizosaccharomycetaceae. The record is from the annotation of a GenBank genome assembly.